UUACGGUCAAAUCACGCUGAAACACCGGUUCUCGUUCGAUCACCGAAGUUAAGCAUCGUAGAGCCAGGUUAGUACUUAGAUGGGGGACCGCUUGGGAACACCUGGUACUGUAAG
Molecule: ribosomal RNA, 114 nt
Filed under: Acanthosepion pharaonis
Lineage: Eukaryota; Metazoa; Mollusca; Cephalopoda; Sepiida; Sepiidae
Source: RNAcentral